RNAcentral lists this ribosomal RNA (458 nucleotides) under uncultured bacterium. RNAcentral describes it as "partial 16S ribosomal RNA". It matches the Rfam family "Bacterial small subunit ribosomal RNA", at positions 338 to 795 of the family's 1533-position model. The record is from RNAcentral.
CCUACGGGGGGCAGCAGUGGGGAAUAUUGCACAAUGGGGGAAACCCUGAUGCAGCGACGCCGCGUGAGUGAAGAAGUAAUUCGUUACGUAAAGCUCUAUCAGCAGGGAAGAAACACUGACCUUACGGUCAGCAGACGGUACCUGAGUAAGAAGCCCCGGCUAACUACGUGCCAGCAGCCGCGGUAAUACGUAGGGGGCAAGCGGUAUCCGGAUUUACUGGGUGUAAAGGGAGCGUAGACGGUGCGCCAAGUCUGGUGUGAAAUGCCGCAGCUUAACUGCGGAACUGCAUUGGAAACUGGCGAACUAGAGUGCGGGAGGGGUAAGCGGAAUUCCUAGUGUAGCGGUGAAAUGCGUAGAUAUUAGGAGGAACACCGGUGGCGAAGGCGGCUUACUGGACCGUAACUGACGUUGAGGCUCGAAAGCGUGGGGAGCAAACAGGAUUAGAUACCCGAGUAGUC